This 85-nucleotide transfer RNA is filed under the name Alteromonadaceae bacterium. RNAcentral describes it as "tRNA-Leu". It matches the Rfam family "tRNA". From Rfam's summary of the family: Transfer RNA (tRNA) molecules are approximately 80 nucleotides in length. The record is from RNAcentral. Lineage: Bacteria; Pseudomonadati; Pseudomonadota; Gammaproteobacteria; Alteromonadales; Alteromonadaceae.
GCCCGGGUGGUGAAAUUGGUAGACACUGGGGACUUAAAAUCCCCUGCCGUAAGGCGUACGAGUUCGACUCUCGUCCCGGGCACCA